CAGGGUCACUAACCACUACGCCAUUCGGUCGUCGUUUAAAAUACAAUUAUCUAAAAAUAAAAAAUAAAAAUCUAAUCCAUCCGUAUAUUUGUCUAAUUUCAGUUGUAUCAAUUGUAUUUCAUUUCUUUGUGUUAAUAUUUCUUUUGUAUAUUUUUGAUGUCAAUUCUUUGUUAUUCUUUAAUAGGUAAGUAUUUAAAGUGGAUAAAAUCAUUUGUUAUUUCAGGACCAUCUGAUUCUGCCGAAUAUCCCUAGCACUGUCGCCACUGGGAAUCAACCCUGCUCUUCUAUUCCUGUUACAAAAGAUGAAACCUACGCCGGUGUUAUUGCAUCUGCUAUAACAAGGGAGCACAAUUACAGCGUGAACUCAAAUCGAAAGAUAUUAAAAGGUGCUCAAAAACGAAAGCCCCUGUACCCUGAGCCAGCAAAAACAAAUCGACUCGAAAUAAGACGCCUGCAGUCCGAAAUAUAUCGAUUGCGUAAAAAAGGAGCUUCAUUUAAGCAACGUUUAGAAACGGCACAAAAGUUUUCCGAAGAUGUCUCUUUCCAAAGAGUUAUAAAAAAAUUGCAAAGACCUGCUCAACUAUUCCUCCGCAUGCAGCUGCAGUCAAAGAAGAAACCGAAAGGUAGACGAUUCACCA
Plutella xylostella (diamondback moth) is the source of this 638-nucleotide non-coding RNA. The record is from RefSeq and is a predicted model, not a curated record. NCBI's taxonomy places the organism in Eukaryota, Metazoa, Arthropoda, Insecta, Lepidoptera, Plutellidae.